This 497-nucleotide ribosomal RNA is filed under the name uncultured bacterium. Its description in RNAcentral is "partial 16S ribosomal RNA". It matches the Rfam family "Bacterial small subunit ribosomal RNA", at positions 28 to 507 of the family's 1533-position model. The record is from RNAcentral.
GAUGAACGCUGGCGGCGUGCCUAAUACAUGCAAGUCGAGCGAACAGACGAGGAGCUUGCUCCUCUGACGUUAGCGGCGGACGGGUGAGUAACACGUGGAUAACCUACCUAUAAGACUGGGAUAACUUCGGGAAACCGGAGCUAAUACCGGAUAAUAUAUUGAACCGCAUGGUUCAAUAGUGAAAGACGGUUUUGCUGUCACUUAUAGAUGGAUCCGCGCCGCAUUAGCUAGUUGGUAAGGUAACGGCUUACCAAGGCGACGAUGCGUAGCCGACCUGAGAGGGUGAUCGGCCACACUGGAACUGAGACACGGUCCAGACUCCUACGGGAGGCAGCAGUAGGGAAUCUUCCGCAAUGGGCGAAAGCCUGACGGAGCAACGCCGCGUGAGUGAUGAAGGUCUUCGGAUCGUAAAGUUCUGUUAUUAGGGAAGAACAAAUGUGUAAGUAACUAUGCACGUCUUGACGGUACCUAAUCAGAAAGCCACGGCUAACUACGUG